RNAcentral lists this ribosomal RNA (301 nucleotides) under uncultured bacterium. Its description in RNAcentral is "partial 16S ribosomal RNA". It matches the Rfam family "Bacterial small subunit ribosomal RNA", at positions 509 to 807 of the family's 1533-position model. The record is from RNAcentral.
CAGCCGCCGCGGGAAUACGAAGGGGGCUAGCGUUGCUCGGAAUUACUGGGCGUAAAGGGAGCGUAGGCGGAUCGUUUAGUCAGGGGUGAAAUCCCGGGGCUCAACCUCGGAACUGCCUUUGAUACUGGCGAUCUUGAGUAUGGGAGAGGUGUGUGGAACUCCGAGUGUAGAGGUGAAAUUCGUAGAUAUUCGGAAGAACACCAGUGGCGAAGGCGACACACUGGCCCAUUACUGACGCUGAGGCUCGAAAGCGUGGGGAGCAAACAGGAUUAGAUACCCGUGUAGUCCCUGUCUCUUAUAC